AGCAAAGGCCUGAAGAGGGUCUGGGCAUCCACUUCCCUCCACCUGGCCCAGGCCAGGCAGUUCUUGCAGCCACAUUGCCAGCACGUGACCGGAAACCAUGCAGCUUCUGAUCUCUUCCCAGCUGCUGCAGUAGCAGCCCCAGGCUGAGAUGGAUGCAGCACCGCUUCACUCCUGUUCUGGGCUCCCUGGACUCCGCUUCUUCCAUGCCUUCCUGGCCUUCUGGUGCACCUUUGUGGGCAGUGGCUCUGCCCAGAAUGUGAUCCAGACUCCAAGCUUUGUCAAUAGCUUGGCUGGGGCAAAUGUUAACUUCUAUUGCUCUGUUGACAAAGGCUAUAAUUUCUAUUGGUAUCGCCAAGUGCCUGGGAAGACAGAGCUUGAAGUCCUUGGGUCUCUCUACAGUCACAGUACAACACUCGAAGAUAUUCCAAAUGAUUUGAAGGAUCGGCUGAAUGGAAGGAUCUCAGACAAUUCAGAUACAUCUAGGCGGAAAAUGUAUUUGAAUUUGUCAAAUCUUCAGGCGAAUGACAAGGGCUUCUAUCUCUGUGCUGGGGUGUACACAGUGAAAGAGAGAGGAACAGUAGCAGGUGCAAAACUGAGUAUCAGGAUGAAAUCUGCCCUUUACUCUUUUCGAUUCAUGUCCAUCUUUUACCUGACAUCAUACUAAUACACGGGUUCUGUUCUAGUGUUCUCAUAUUUAGAGCAGCCUUUGUUUCAUUUAUGCCUUUCAGAUGCCCAGAACUGCCAUUUUUACACUGGUUGUGGCGUGAGCAUUUUGAUCAAAUAAACUGUUAGAC
Crotalus tigris (Tiger rattlesnake) is the source of this 794-nucleotide non-coding RNA. The record is from the annotation of a RefSeq genome assembly. Lineage: Eukaryota; Metazoa; Chordata; Lepidosauria; Squamata; Viperidae.